AAUUUCACAGACUGCCAAGGUAACAAAGAGCAAUGAUGAAGAUUUAUUUCAUCAGUUUACUCCUGCUUAUGGCAUGCCUGUACCCAAGUUUGGCACAAGGUUCUUAUGAAAAUUGUUGCCUAAAGUAUAAUAAGGAGCCUAAGAUGAGCACCAAAAGAAGAAUUGUGGACUUCAGGACUCAGAUGAGUGAUGGAGGAUGCAACCGCUCCGCUGUUAUAUUCACUGUUAUGAAAAAGAAAUCAACGAUGACAUUCUGUGCUGACCCCACAAAGUCCUGGGUGAUGAAAAUGGUGAAAAGUUUAGAAACCAAGAUGGAAAACAACUGAUUGAAAUCAUUCCGAUUGUUUUUAUCUGUGUGGUGAUCAUGAUUUAAAAAAGAGAGAAAACAGAUAGUAGCUGAGUAUAUAGCUUAUAGCUGAGUGUUAGCAGUUCAUAAAUUUUUGACUGGAUUCUUUUCAGUUCAGUGUUUGCAAAUUACUGCAUUGUAAAAUAAUAGAGCUGUAUGUUCUAUACUUACACUUCUAAUGUACUGCUAAUUGCUGAGUCCCUCUGAUUUCAAGACUUUUCAUUUGUUUGAUUUGUUCUGUUUCACUAUAAAUAUAUGUAUGUUUAAUUUUUUUAUAUUUGAUACCACUGUAUUUUUUGUAUUUUUUAUACACGUUCCAUUGUUACA
This is a long non-coding RNA of Tachysurus fulvidraco (yellow catfish), 673 nucleotides long. RefSeq lists it as uncharacterized. The transcript has 4 exons. NCBI's taxonomy places the organism in Eukaryota, Metazoa, Chordata, Actinopteri, Siluriformes, Bagridae. The record is from RefSeq and is a predicted model, not a curated record.